CAACGCUGAAGGCAAAGUGUAUUUGUCAUUCAUCACCAAAGGAUGCUGAUCCUUCCUCAUGCCCAAAUGUUGCAUGUCCAGAUGAGCCUUCUCGCUAUCCUUGGAUUUUCCUGCCAUGUUAAGCAAGGUCCCCAGUAUGCUCUCACAUAUAUUUUUUUAAUGUGCAUCACAUCCAAAUUAUGCCUUACAAGCAACUUUUCCCAAUAAGACAGUUCAAAAAAAUACUCUUCUUCCUCCAAUUGUGCCAUCUAGUGUCCUCUUCACGCUGCUUCCUCUUUUUAGUCGUGUUCCCAAAUGUCACUUGCUCAAAGCUUUCAUACUGGUUCAGCACACCUUCCCCA
Molecule: long non-coding RNA, 341 nt
Filed under: Setaria viridis
Lineage: Eukaryota; Viridiplantae; Streptophyta; Magnoliopsida; Poales; Poaceae
Description: long non-coding RNA (SVIR_LNC009255)
Source: RNAcentral